This 253-nucleotide ribosomal RNA is filed under the name uncultured Oscillospira sp. Its description in RNAcentral is "partial 16S ribosomal RNA". It matches the Rfam family "Bacterial small subunit ribosomal RNA", at positions 524 to 776 of the family's 1533-position model. Lineage: Bacteria; Bacillati; Bacillota; Clostridia; Eubacteriales; Oscillospiraceae. The record is from RNAcentral.
UACGUAGGUGGCGAGCGUUAUCCGGAUUUACUGGGUGUAAAGGGCGUGUAGGCGGGAGAGCAAGUCAGAUGUGAAAACUACAGGCUUAACCUGUAGCCUGCAUUUGAAACUGUUCUUCUUGAGUGAUGGAGAGGCAGGCGGAAUUCCUAGUGUAGCGGUGAAAUGCGUAGAUAUUAGGAGGAACACCAGUGGCGAAGGCGAUUUGCUGGACUGUAACUGACACUGAGGCACGAAAGCGUGGGGAGCAAACAGG